RNAcentral lists this ribosomal RNA (171 nucleotides) under uncultured Actinomycetes bacterium. RNAcentral's name for it is "uncultured actinobacterium partial 16S ribosomal RNA". It matches the Rfam family "Bacterial small subunit ribosomal RNA", at positions 305 to 475 of the family's 1533-position model. Lineage: Bacteria; Bacillati; Actinomycetota; Actinomycetes. The record is from RNAcentral.
UUUCCCCCCCGGGGCCCCGGGCCCGUCCCGCCGCCCCCGCCCGCCUAAGGGAGGCAGCAGUGGGGAAUAUUGCGCAAUGGGCGAAAGCCUGACGCAGCGACGCCGCGUGAGGGACGAAGGUCUUCGGAUUGUAAACCUCUUUCAGCAGGGACGAAGCGAAAGUGACGACGA